Molecule: long non-coding RNA, 2613 nt
Organism: Pygocentrus nattereri (red-bellied piranha)
Lineage: Eukaryota; Metazoa; Chordata; Actinopteri; Characiformes; Serrasalmidae
Exons: 3
Source: RefSeq, a predicted model, not a curated record
UCAUAUAUCACACUUGUUCAGGAUAUUUUUGCAAAAUUUGACAGUGUACUAGCAGUACCACAUAAAAAAAAAACACCCAAAAAACAAAACUGCCAUCUAAACUAUGAACACUCGUGAUUUUCAUUGUGGUUUUUUAUGCUGCACUGCACUAAAUCUACUUAAAAAGGGCCAAUUUGUGCUCUCAUUGGAACAAAGUGUAUGCUUGUUUAGGGUUUUUUAAAGUGCUGAUGGUUUCUACAAUAUGCUCAGAAAAACAAUCACAAUACGAAAACGUAUCACAAUGUGGAUAAAGUGUUGUCAUAUUGUCCACCUCUAAAAGACAUGUGCCGUUAUCCUGUGACUGGACAUGUCACAGUAUUAAUCACAUGGAGCUUUCUAAGUGCUCCGGGUUUGCUUGCCAGCAUGCUUUCUGCUGCAUUUAUGUCCAACCAGAAAAAAAGUAAUGCACAGUAAUGUUAUCGUUGUCCCUUUAAAAUGCCAUCAAUGAAUUUUAGCCAAACACACUGCGGUUUUACUAGAGAUUAGAUACCACAGCAACUUUUUCACAAGCUCCAGUACUCCGAUCACGUGGUACAGUUCCUACUCUGAGCGGAUCAGAGAUGUAGCUUGUUGCUAACACAUACUGGAAAAUCUCAUUAACAAGCUAGCAGAAAUUAUCCUUAGAAAGGCAUUUUUAUGUGAUGAUAUUUGCAGCCUGUUCAUAAUAACUAUAUACACCACUUUUAUGGUGAUAGUUGUGUAUUUUUGGACAGAAGUGUGUUAGCUAGAUUAAGGCGGACAUUAUUGCCUCAAAUUAGAGCUCUAAUACAGACGAUUAGGAAUGGUGUCUCAAUUUUGCGAUUACCACAUUCUUAGUGAUGGCUGCCUCUUGACUGGAUCCAUUUCUCUUGUAAACAUGUGCUAUAUUGAUCACUGCUGCUUACAUUUCUAGGCUAGGAGAUACUAUUGCUGACCAAAGUAAACAAUACAGUAGCAGAUUUUCUGGAUGUGUGUAUCGUUGUCAGCUAACAAUUGCAUAAUGGAAAAUGGAUAAUGCACAUGAUAAGGAGCAGUAAGCUUUGUUAAAAAUACUUCUUAAAAAUUAGAUUGCCAACUUAGUAGUUCUGUUUUAAGUAUCAAUGGCAAAACAAGAUAAUCGCUGUGAGAAAUUUUGUGGAAAAGUCAUUCUUAUCAUUGUUAUCCAGUGUUUGUACUCUGUUCGACAAUCAUUGCCUCGUCAACUUCAUUGAUUGCCUUCUUAUACGUUUUUUUUUUCUGACAUUACUUUCGUAGCAAGGUCAGUGAUGAGCCAUACUGGUACACGUACCUAUUUAAGCUGUCAGCAAGUAUUUUGUCCAGUCACAAUUAACCUAUUUUUAAAUCCCUUUUCAAAUUGUUAAAUGGACACUUAUGAAUCACGUCUGUGAAUAGUAGCCUUCAACUAUUAGUAAUACAUUGAUGAUAAUAUCUUGACUGCUAAGCUAAAUGUAGCUUGGGAUCACUUUGGGAGAGGACACAAACCUGGAUGACCUCAACUUCAGUGCUUGCCCAUAUUCCUGGUUCUCAAAGCUUUUGCCAUUGUAUAGUUCUGAGCGAGUGGCGUAGAGGCUGGACUCGGCUCAGUUGGGAUUUUUGCCUUCUGCGCCACUCCAGGUGCAGGCCUUUCCUGUGCGUUUCUACCCUGUUUCAUAUCUUCAGCACCUGGUUUGGGCUCUAAAAAAACAAUUUUGAGUCUGACUGGUUGUCAUACAGAUAUGUCUGAAGUAUGAAACACAUUCGAUGUCUUGGAUGCAGUUGGACGUUGAUUGCUGAAAGUGAAGAAGAUGCAUCAUAGAUAGAGACGAAGACAGGAGGUAUAUAGGCGCUAAGCAUAUACACUAUCGAUUAUUACCCUCAGAUGCAUAUGUGAGUUUGUUUAACUACUUUGAGAGCAUUGUCUACUCGUCAUUGCCUUCAUAGCAGCUUUAUGUAUAGUGAAACAGUAGUUAUGAAGUUAUGUUCUCUUUGAGCAAGGCUAUAUCUUAUGAAAUAGAAGAUCAUAUCAUAUUCAUACCUGAAUUUAACUAUGACCAUUUUUCUCAGGUUCUACCCAGUAAAAGUGUGGAAGCAAUUUGUGAACAUCAAGUUAAGUCCAGUAUAGAUGGAGCCAUCCCUGUGUCUACUGCCAAAAAAUGUUUGUGGUUGAAUCCCUCCUUAAAUCAUGUAACUUCAGACAAAAACGGAGGUAGGGCUUUUUUAAUGUUCGUUUGACCCUUGUUUUUGUGUUCCACACAAUACAUGUUUUGAAGGUUUCCAUGCCGUUCACAAAUAUCACGUCAGCUUGGAAGAAAUAAAGCGUCGAAUUGGCCCCCCUGAGUUUAUGUCCUUAAAUGCGCUAGAAGCCCUUUUAUUUACUAUGCAGACAAGACAACAGAAUUAAUGAGAGCAAAGUCUUUUUGGUUUGUAGAACUAUUCUUCAUGUAGGAAAUGAGAAGCUGUGAGUUAUUGUUGCAAGAGUACUUUUUUGCACAAAAAAAGUUUAAAUAACAGCAGUUAAACUGUAAACAAACAUCAACAGUAAACAAGCCGUCAUUUUUAGUUAGUUGCAAAUGGAGGUGAAGAGGGCGGAAAUUCUGCAUGUGCUGUUAAAUGAUA